CCAGUUGUAGCCGAUGUUCCACAGCAGGGGGCCCAGGACAGACCUCUGCGGAACGCCGCGCUCGACGGA
This 69-nucleotide microRNA precursor is filed under the name Bombyx mori (domestic silkworm). Its description in RNAcentral is "mir-3389 microRNA precursor family". It matches the Rfam family "mir-3389 microRNA precursor family". The record is from Rfam by way of RNAcentral. Lineage: Eukaryota; Metazoa; Arthropoda; Insecta; Lepidoptera; Bombycidae.